UUAGGUAGAGGUUGCAAACAACAAGAGUAUCUUAAAGGAGCUAGACGAAGCGAUGAAUUUAAGUGAAAGGGAAGUUUGCCGAAAUAAAGAUUAUGUCAAAAAUCUUUGUUGGGCUUAUGGAAAAUAUCCAUAUGACUGUCAUCAGAGAGAGUCUGAUGUUGUGCUAUC
Molecule: non-coding RNA, 168 nt
Filed under: uncultured Cetobacterium sp.
Lineage: Bacteria; Fusobacteriati; Fusobacteriota; Fusobacteriia; Fusobacteriales; Fusobacteriaceae
Description: Lysine riboswitch
Rfam family: Lysine riboswitch aptamer
About the family: Riboswitches are metabolite binding domains within certain messenger RNAs that serve as precision sensors for their corresponding targets.
Source: RNAcentral